This 82-nucleotide transfer RNA is filed under the name Colletotrichum higginsianum. RNAcentral describes it as "tRNA-Undet". Lineage: Eukaryota; Fungi; Ascomycota; Sordariomycetes; Glomerellales; Glomerellaceae. The record is from RNAcentral.
ACUUGCGUGACGCAAUGGUAAGCGUCUGGCAGCAUCUGCACGCUCUGCGCGCAGACGGUUGGUUCAAUUCCGACCGCAGGAA